RNAcentral lists this ribosomal RNA (2982 nucleotides) under Pseudomuriella schumacherensis. Its description in RNAcentral is "LSU rRNA". It matches the Rfam family "Bacterial large subunit ribosomal RNA". Lineage: Eukaryota; Viridiplantae; Chlorophyta; Chlorophyceae; Sphaeropleales; Pseudomuriellaceae. The record is from RNAcentral.
GUCAAAUAAACGAAGGCUCACGGUGGAGACCUAGGCAUCCAGAAGCGAAGAAGGGCGCAGAUACCGGCGAAACGCUUCGGGGAGCUGGCAACAAGCAUUGAUCCGAAGAUCCCCGAAUAGGGCAACCUCAAGAACUGCUUAACGAAUUCAUAGUUAAGAAAGAGCGAACCCGGUGAAUUGAAACAUCUUAGUAACCGGAGGAAAAGAAAGCAAACGCGAUUCUCGUAGUAGCGGCGAGCGAAACGGGAACAGCCUAAACCAACUAUUGAUGUUGGGGUAGUGGGAAGACAAAAUCAAAAAAUGAAUUUUUUGUUUUUUUUUAAAAAAUAAAGAGUGAAGAAAAAAGUGUAGACGAAGCAGCUGAAUCCUGCACCAUAGAUGGUGAAAGUCCAGUAGUCAAAAACUAAAAAACUGUCUAAUCCCGAGUAGCAUGGGGCACGUGGAAUCCCGUGUGAAUCAGCGAGGACCACCUCGUAAGGCUAAAUAUUCCUGGGUGACCGAUAGAGAAAUAGUACCAUGAGGGAAAGGUGAAAAGAACCCCCGUUGGGGAGUGAAAUAGAACAUGAAACCGUCAGCUGACAAGCAGUGGGAGGGUGUUAGAACCUGACCGCGUGCCUGUUGAAGAAUGAGCCGGCGACUUAUAGGGAGUGGCAGGGUUAAGGAGUUUGAUCUGGAGCCCAAGCGAAAGCGAGUCUGAAUAGGGCGUUGAGUCACUUCUUAUGGACCCGAACCCGGGUGAUCUAACCAUGGCCAGGAUGAAGCUUGGGUAACACCAAGUGGAGGUCCGAACCGACCGAUGUUGAAAAAUCGGCGGAUGAGCUGUGGUUAGGGAUGAAAUUUCAAUCGAACUCGGAGCUAGCUGGUUCUCCCUGAAAUGCGUUGAGGCGCAGCGGUCACGAAGAGCUGUCUAGGGGUAAAGCAACUGUUUCGAUACGGGCUGCGAAAGCGGUACCAAGUCGUGGCAAACUCAGAAUACUAGGCAUUAUAAUAUUUAAGCUUUCCGUAAACCAGUGAGACGGUGGGGGAUAAGCUUCAUCGUCAAGAGGGAAACAGCCCAGAUCACCAGCUAAGGCCCCAAAAUGGCCGCUAAGUGGAAAAGGAUGUGAGAAUGCUGAAACAACCAGGAGGUUUGCUUAGAAGCAGCCACCCUUUAAAGAGUGCGUAAUAGCUCACUGGUAAAGCGUUCUUGCGCCGACAAUGGCCGGGACUAAGCGGCCUGCCGAAGCUGUGGGAUUUUUACUUGCUCUCAAAAGUUUCUAAAAUUUUCGAGAAAGCUUGUUAAAAUCGGUAAGGGAGCGUUCUGCCACGGGAGAAGCUUUCACGUAAGUGAUGGUGGACGAGGCGGAAGUGAGAAUGUCGGCUUGAGUAACGAAAACAUUGGUGAGAAUCCAAUGCCCCGAAAACCUAAGGGUUCCUCUACAAGGUUCGUCCGUGGGGGGUGAGUCAGGACCUAAGGCGAGGCCGAACGGCGUAGUCGAUGGCAAACAGGUUAAUAUUCCUGUACUUAUUUUUGUGGGUCCCGAGGGACGAAGAAGGCUAAGCUAGGUCUGUGAAUGGAAUGCAGUGGAAGCGUUCGAGGUGUUGACAGGUAGAACAAAAACUAUCCUGGAGCUGAGACGUGAUCCCGUUCUCUGGAAUUUUUCCGGUUGGACGCUAGUGAUGUCAAACUUCCAAGAAAAUCUCGUAAACCUCUUUAUAGAAAAACACAAAAAUAACCUGUACCUGAAACCGACACAGGUAGGUAGGUAGAGAAUACCAAGGGGCGCGAGAGAACUCUCUCUAAGGAACUCGGCAAACUGGCCCCGUAACUUCGGAAGAAGGGGCGCCCUCUUAUAGAGGGUCGCAGUGACCAGGCCCAGGCGACUGUUUACCAAAAACACAGGUCUCCGCAAAGUCGUAAGACAAUAUAUGGGGGCUGACGCCUGCCCAGUGCCGGAAGGUGAAGGAAGUUGGUUAUUUCCUUUGGAGAGAAGCUGACAACCGAAGCCCCGGUGAACGGCGGCUGUAACUAUGACAGUCCUAAGGUAGCGAAAUUCAUUGUCGAGUAAGUUUCGACCUGCACGAAAGGCGUAACGAUCUGGGCGCUGUCUCAGAGAGAGGCUCGGUGAAAUAGACUUGUCCGUGAAGAUGCGGACUACUUGCACUUGGACAGAAAGACCCUAUGAAGCUUGACUGUAUCCUGGAAUGGGGUUCGGGCUUUUCUUGCGCAGUCUAGGUGGGAGGCUUUGAAGGUUUCCUUCCGGGGAAAUUGGAGCCAUCAGUGAGAGACCACUCUGGAAAGGCUAGAAUCCUAAUGGUGAUCCUUGAAUCAGGACACUUGACAGUUUCAGGUGGGCAGUUUGUUUGGGGCGAACGCCUUAUAAAGUGUAACUAAGGCGUGCAAAGGUUCCCUCAAUCUGGACGGAAAUCAGAUGUUGAGUGUAAAGGCAAAAGGGAGCUUGACUGCAAGACCUACAAGUCGAGCAGGGGCGAAAGCCGGCCUUAGUGAUCCGACGGUGCCGUGUGGAAGGGCCGUCGCUCAACGGAUAAAAGUUACUCUAGGGAUAACAGGCUAAUCUUCUCCAAGAGUUCAUAUCGACGAGAAGGUUUGGCACCUCGAUGUCGGCUCAUCACAACCUGGAGCGGCAGUACGUUCCAAGGGUUGGGCUGUUCGCCCAUUAAAGUGGUACGUGAGCUGGGUUCAGAACGUCGUGAGACAGUUUGGUCCAUAUCCGGUGUAAGCGCUAGAGCAUUGAGAGGAGUCUUCCAUAGUACGAGAGGACCUGUGAAGAACGUGCCUAUGGUGUACCAGUUAUCUUUCCAAAGGUAAACGCUGGGUAGCUACGCACUGAGUGGAUAACCGCUGAAAGCAUCUAAGUGGGAAGCCCACCUCAAGAUGAGUGCUCUCUAUUAGGUCGCGGCAAGACCAGCCGUUAAUAGGUAUCAGGUGUAAGGCUAGCAAUAGUUUUAGCCGAGAUAUACUAAAGGCCAAUUGAUUUUGAC